GACGAACGCUGGCGGCGUGCCUAAUACAUGCAAGUCGAACGCACAGUUUAUACCGUAGCUUGCUACACCAUAGACUGUGAGUUGCGAACGGGUGAGUAACGCGUAGGUAACCUGCCUGGUAGCGGGGGAUAACUAUUGGAAACGAUAGCUAAUACCGCAUAAUAUUAAUUAUUGCAUGAUAAUUAAUUGAAAGGUGCAAUUGCACCACUACCAGAUGGACCUGCGUUGUAUUAGCUAGUAGGGGAGGUAACGGCUCACCUAGGCGACGAUACAUAGCCGAACGGAGAGGGUGAUCGGCCACACUGGGACGGAGACACGGCCCAGACUCCUACGGGAGGCAGCAGUAGGGAAUCUUCGGCAAUGGACGAAAGUCUGACCGAGAAACGCCGCGGGAGUGAAGAAGGUUUUCGGAUCGUAAAGCUCUGUUGUAAGAGAAGAACGGGUGUGAGAGUGGAAAGUUCACACUGUGACGGUAUCUUACCAGAAAGGGACGGCUAACUACGUG
This 505-nucleotide ribosomal RNA is filed under the name uncultured bacterium. RNAcentral describes it as "partial 16S ribosomal RNA". It matches the Rfam family "Bacterial small subunit ribosomal RNA", at positions 28 to 507 of the family's 1533-position model. The record is from RNAcentral.